CAGUCGCCGCGGUAAUACGAAGGGUGCAAGAGUUACUCGGAAUUACUGGGCGUAAAGCGUGCGUAGGUGGUGGUUUAAGUCCGUUGUGAAAGCCCUGGGCUCAACCUGGGAAUUGCAGUGGAUACUGGAUCACUAGAGUGUGGUAGAGGAUAGUGGAAUUUCCGGUGUAGCAGUGAAAUGCGUAGAGAUCGGAAGGAACAUCUGUGGCGAAGGCGACUAUCUGGGCCAACACUGACACUGAGGCACGAAAGCGUGGGGAGCAAACAGGAUUAGAUACCCGCGUAGUCCCUGUCUCUUAUAC
This 301-nucleotide ribosomal RNA is filed under the name uncultured bacterium. RNAcentral's name for it is "partial 16S ribosomal RNA". It matches the Rfam family "Bacterial small subunit ribosomal RNA", at positions 509 to 807 of the family's 1533-position model. The record is from RNAcentral.